Molecule: long non-coding RNA, 199 nt
Filed under: Bos indicus x Bos taurus (hybrid cattle)
Lineage: Eukaryota; Metazoa; Chordata; Mammalia; Artiodactyla; Bovidae
Description: lncRNA (ENSBIXG00005004406.1)
Source: RNAcentral
UAAUGAUGUCUUUUUAAUGGGUAUUUUGAACCACAAAAUAUGAAAUCAUUCCAUCUUUUUUUUUAAAUUGUAGGUAUUUGAAGAAAGAAGAGCUCUGCUUGGAAAAUGGGUGAGCUGGCAUUGGAAGAAUUUAACUGAACUGGAUCAGCUCUGGAUGCUAAAAUGUUUACGGUUUAACUGGUAUAUCAAUGUCUCCCCA